This 104-nucleotide small nucleolar RNA is filed under the name Dasypus novemcinctus (nine-banded armadillo). RNAcentral's name for it is "Small nucleolar RNA U13 (ENSDNOG00000033597.1)". It matches the Rfam family "Small nucleolar RNA U13". The record is from RNAcentral. Lineage: Eukaryota; Metazoa; Chordata; Mammalia; Cingulata; Dasypodidae.
AUCCUUUUGUGGUUCAUAAGCAUGAUGAACGGGUGUUCAUGCGCUUGUGUGAGGUGUGCCUCCCUCAAACCUUUUUACAACGUCAGCACAUUACCCAUCUGACA